This 775-nucleotide ribosomal RNA is filed under the name uncultured Neocallimastigales. Its description in RNAcentral is "partial large subunit ribosomal RNA". It matches the Rfam family "Eukaryotic large subunit ribosomal RNA", at positions 23 to 646 of the family's 3401-position model. The record is from RNAcentral. Lineage: Eukaryota; Fungi; Neocallimastigomycota; Neocallimastigomycetes; Neocallimastigales.
AGAGAGAGACAUGCGCGCAUAUCAAUAAGCGGAGGAAAAGAAACUAACUAGGAUUCCCUCAGUAACGGCGAGUGAAGCGGGAAGAGCUCAAAUUUGAAAUCUUCAAGGUUCUACCUUGACGAAUUGUAGUUUAAAGAAGUGUUUUCUGUUGGAGUUUUGGUAAAAGUUCUUUGGAAUAGGACAUCAUAGAGGGUGAGAAUCCCGUAUUUGACCAUUAUUUCCAGCUUUGUGAUACACUUUCAAAGAGUCGGAUUGUUUGGGAAUGCAGUCCAAAAUGGGUGGUAAAUUUCAUCUAAAGCUAAAUAUUGGCGAGAGACCGAUAGCGAACAAGUACCGUGAGGGAAAGAUGAAAAGAACUUUGAAAAGAGAGUUAAACAGUACGUGAAAUUGUCAAAAGGGAAGCGUUUGACACCAGUGUUGUUUUUCUGAAAAUCAAUUAAAGAACUGUUUAUGCUAAGUUGUUUAGACUUUAUCAGCUAACUGUUUAGUUUUGAGCUUUUCUUUAAUGCACUUUUCAGUUAACAAGUCAACAUCAAUUUCUUUUGCUGUAAAAAAGCUUGAGGAAGGUGGCUUGAGAUUCGUCCUUAAGUGUUUAUAGCCUCUUGCCUAUGCAGUCGGAGAGAUUGAGGUCUGCAGCGUAGAUCCUUCGGGGCUAAAUGCAUUUGUGCUAAGUUAUAGCAUUUUAUAGACAACUUGUUGACUAUGAUUUGUCUUGUAGCUUACUCGCUUAUGUUAUUUUACCUACGCUUAGGAUGUUGAUGUGAUACUGCGAGCA